This 330-nucleotide ribosomal RNA is filed under the name uncultured eukaryote. RNAcentral describes it as "partial 18S ribosomal RNA". It matches the Rfam family "Eukaryotic small subunit ribosomal RNA", at positions 1470 to 1796 of the family's 1831-position model. The record is from RNAcentral.
CCCUUAGAUGUCCUGGGCCGCACGCGCGCUACACUGAAGGAAUCAGCACGUCUUUCUCCUUGUCCGAAAGGACUGGGUAACCCGCUGAACCUCCUUCGUGCUAGGGAUUGGGGCUUGUAAUUCUUCCCCAUGAACGAGGAAUUCCCAGUAAGCGCGAGUCAUAAGCUCGCGUUGAUUACGUCCCUGCCCUUUGUACACACCGCCCGUCGCUACUACCGAUUGGAUGGUUUAGUGAGAUCCUCGGAUUGGUCCCGGAGCGGCCUCUGGUCGUGCCGGAGUGCCGAAAAGAAUGUCGAACUUGAUCAUCUAGAGGAAGUAAAAGUCGUAACA